UCACAGUCUCACUCAUUAGAAGCUAAGAAGAUUGUUUCACAACCCUCAAGCUUUGAAGUCUCUCAGGAGAAGAUCUUACAUUGUGUUGAAUCAAAACAAGACUUCAGUGAACUGCUUUCUCACUUGGCUUUUUAACAAGUCAAGUAAUUGCAGUAAAACCAGGUUUUUUUCAUUACCUUCACAACCCUCAAGCUUUGAAGUCUCUCAGGAGAAGCUCUUACAUUGUGUUGAAUCAAAACAAGACUUCAGUGAACUGCUUUUUCACUUGGGU
This is a long non-coding RNA of Arabidopsis thaliana (thale cress), 271 nucleotides long. RefSeq annotates it as other RNA. The record is from RefSeq. Lineage: Eukaryota; Viridiplantae; Streptophyta; Magnoliopsida; Brassicales; Brassicaceae. The transcript has a single exon.